GGGGGCGACAGGUUUCGACGGGGUUAGUUGAGGCGUCGGUGGCAUGCCGAGGUCCUGUUAUCUCGUAAAACAAGCAGGAAAAAAACAACUGCUGACAAUUAUUCUACGCAGGAAUACGCCUUAGCUGCGUAAGCGGCUAACGCUCUUCCGCCUGAGCCUGUAGGGUGGAAAGGGCGUAAUUUCGCAGGCUAGCUUACCUUUUUGGUCCGGAGGGGGGUAAGCGAAAAUUUAUCCGGACUGGCAUCCUUCAAAUCCUGCCGAUGGGAUAGGAAGGGUGUGAGAUCUAAACAUCGGCUAAGCAUGUAGAGGCUGUUCGCCGAAUAAUCUCGGACGUGGGUUCGAUUCCCACCGCCUCCAUUA
Molecule: transfer-messenger RNA, 360 nt
Filed under: bacterium
Lineage: Bacteria
Also listed under: 1 other name
Rfam family: transfer-messenger RNA
About the family: Bacterial tmRNA, also known as 10Sa RNA or SsrA, is named for its dual tRNA and mRNA-like properties. Its role is to liberate the mRNA from a stalled ribosome.
Source: RNAcentral